Molecule: ribosomal RNA, 330 nt
Filed under: Mesomexovis punctatus
Lineage: Eukaryota; Metazoa; Arthropoda; Arachnida; Scorpiones; Vaejovidae
Description: partial 12S ribosomal RNA
Source: RNAcentral
UAAAACUUAUAGAAUUAGGUAGUAAAGAAUUUUCCGAAACCUAAAGAAUUUGGCGGUAUUUUAAAUAAUUGGAGGAACCUGUUAUUAAAUUGACAAUCCACAACAUAUCUUACCUAAAUUUUAUUUGUAUAUCGUCGUUUCGAUAAUAUUUAAAAAUAAUAAUCAAUCUCAAUUAAUUUUUAAAAAUCAGAUCAAGGUGCAGUAUAUUUAGGAAAUAAUGGGUUACAAUAUAAAAAUAUAUUAUGGAUAUAAAAUUGAAAUUAUAUUGAAAGUGGAUUCAAAAGUAAUGUUAAAUUAAAAUAUUAACUUGAUUUAUAAUUUAAAAUAUGC